RNAcentral lists this small RNA (2273 nucleotides) under Pongo abelii (Sumatran orangutan). RNAcentral's name for it is "retained intron". Lineage: Eukaryota; Metazoa; Chordata; Mammalia; Primates; Hominidae. The record is from RNAcentral.
AGUCAUGAUUACCGAGACCGCGGCGGAGCCCACGGUCCCUGCAGUGCCUGCUGCUGAGGAGGCCACCGAAGCUCGGGGACGCGAGGAGCCGGCGUGGCCCUGGAAAGACGCCCCGAUCCGGACGCUGGUGCAGCGCAUCCACCAGCUGCAGGCUGAGCGCGCGCAGGGCUUCCGCCGACUGGAGGAGUGAGUGGGGGUGCGGAGGGGCUCAGGGUUCAGUCCCCCGCCCGCUCCGGGCGUGGGCGUGCUCUCGGCGGGCGUGCCUGGAGGAGGAGCUGGGUCCUCGCGCGGCUGCAGAGUCAGAUGGGGCGGGGAUUUCGGGGCACCGGGUCCUCACCUUCACGAAAAAGGCCCCACAGCACGUCCCCACUACCCGACGACUCACUCCUCGUGGCUUCUCUCUCCUCCCCAAGAGCAGGGGUGGGCCUGUCUCGCGUUCUCCUGCGGGAGUCGGGAAGCGUCCUUCCUACCUAGCAGUCCUCCCCUCUGGGGUCCGGGGACACUUCCUGGGGGCCUUUCAGGUGGUUGGCGCGGGUGCAGGGCCUGAGAGCCUGGGGGCGCGGCCUCAGGGUCCCCACCUGCCGCAGAGGCCACCGCCAGUACCUGCGCAGCGGUCCUGACUACGACUUCGCGCGCUACCGGAGCACAGUGCACGAGGUGACCCAGGCCUUCGCCGCCGCCUCGCGGGAGGUGCUGGCGGUGGAAGCAGAGCUGGGCGGGCCUCGCAGGCAGCCGCUGCUCGCCGGCCACGUGCGCAGCCUGCAGGAGCUGGAGCAGACGCGGCUGGGCACGGUGGCCCUGCUGCAGCUGAUGGAGACGCCAGAGCUGGCGGGGCAGGAGGACGCUGUACGGAUGCACCAGCUGAAAAUGAAGUGAGCGCUGCUGCCCAAGCCGUCUGGCUAUGCUCGAUUUGCACCACGGUUGGCACGGUCAGACCCUGCCAGCAGAGGAACCCUCUGCCAGUGUACAAUGGUGUUCUCACCUGGUGGCCCUCAGAUAUACACUUCCCCAGAGGGCACAGCCGUGAAACUUCACAUCAAUUUUGCUGUGCAUUGCUGGGACACUGCUGUAUACCUCGACACAUGCCAAUCCUGCACACGUGGCUGUCCGUGGAACUUGGACAUGCCCCACUGAGCACAAACCUUCAGAUGCCUGUCCUCAGCCCCCAAGCACACACACUCAUGUACACACACAUCUGACAGUCACACUUCAUAACCUCCUGAUGCUACACACCCCACCAAGAUGGCCUUUUCUUUUCUUUUUUUUCUGAGACAGAGUCUCACUCUGUCGCCAGGCUGGAGUGCAGUGGCAUGAUCUCAGCUCACUGCAACCUCCGCCUCCCGGGUUCAAGUGAUUCCCCUGCCUCACCCUCCUGAGUAGCUGGGACUACAGGCGGCGUGCCACCACGCCCAGCUAAUUUUUUGUAUUUUAGUAGAGACUGGUUUCACCAUGUUGGCCAGGAUGGUCUUGAUCUCCUGACCUCGUGAUCCGCCCACCUCAGCCUCCCAAAGUGGUGGGAUUACAGGCGUAAGCCAGCACACCUGGUCCUUUAUUUUCUUUUCUUUUUUCUUUCUUUUUCUUGAGACAGAGUCUUGCUCUGUCAUCCAGGCUGGAGUGCAGUGGCGCGAUCUUGGCUUACCGUAACCUCUGCCUCCUAAGUAGCUUGGAUUACAGAUGCCCGCCACCAUGCCUGGCUAAUUCUUGUAUUUUUAGUAGAGAUGGGGAUUCGCCAUUUUGGCCAGGCUGGUUUUGAACUCCUGACCUCAGGUGAUCUGCCUGCCUCGGCUUCCCAAAGUGCUGGAUUACAGGCGUGAGCCACCAUGCCCAGCCCAGAUGGCCUUUUCUCUCAGCCCACUCUGACCUAUGGGGCCACCACUUCUCCCUAGCACCUAAGUGGUCCCUCUUGCUGCUAGUGCUGCCUGGAGGUUUGGCGGCGGGCAGGAGGGCCUGGGGCUCACCACAGCCACAGCCCUCUUGCAGCUUCGCAGCAGCAGCUAAUUCGCCCCAUCUGGGUUUUAUUUAUAGUUCCCAUCCGCUCUUGUAGGGUAAUUAAAACCAUGGAGGCGAUCAGCGAGGUUCUGCAGGACCUCAGGUUUGAUGCGGAAUCUGCCGAGUGAUGGCGGCUCCCCAGGGAUGCGCCGAGGGAGAUGGGAAACGGGGCGGAUGGCACCCAGCCCAGCCCUAACCGCCAGCUGGCUGGGGUCGCGCCCCACUGCGCUGCUGACCUUCCUGCAGUUCGAGACACCUCCCACAAUAAAGAGCUCUUCCUCUGU